AGUGGCGAACGGGUGAGUAAAGCAUCGGAACGUGCCCGGUAGUGCGGGAUAGCUCGGCGAAAGCCGGAUUAAUACCGCAUGAGAUCCGAGGAUGAAAGCGGGGGACCUGCAAGGGCCUUGCGCUACUGGAGCGGCCGAUGUCAGAUUAGGUAGUUGGUGGGGUAAAGGCCUACCAAGCCUGCGAUCUGUAGCUGGUCUGAGAGGAUGAUCAGCCACAUCGGGACUGAGACACGGCCCGAACUCCUACGGGAGGCAGCAGUGGGGAAUUUUGGACAAUGGGGGAAACCCUGAUCCAGCCAUGCCGCGUGCAGGAUGAAGGCCUUCGGGUUGUAAACUGCUUUUGUACGGAACGAAAGGGCUCCUUUUAAUACGGGGGGCAGAUGACGGUACCGUAAGAAUAAGCACCGGCUAACUACGUGCCAGCAGCCGCGGUAAUACGUAGGGUGCGAGCGUUAAUCGGAAUUACUGGGCGUAAGCGUGCGCAGGCGGUCUUGCAAGACAGUGGUGAAAUCCCCGGGCUCAACCUGGGAACUGCCAUUGUGACUGCAAGGCUGGAGUACGGCAGAGGGGGAUGGAAUUUCCGCGUGUAGCAGUGAAAUGCCGU
Molecule: ribosomal RNA, 604 nt
Filed under: uncultured Comamonas sp.
Lineage: Bacteria; Pseudomonadati; Pseudomonadota; Betaproteobacteria; Burkholderiales; Comamonadaceae
Description: bacterial SSU rRNA
Rfam family: Bacterial small subunit ribosomal RNA
Source: RNAcentral